RNAcentral lists this ribosomal RNA (264 nucleotides) under Salmonella enterica subsp. enterica serovar Ohio. Its description in RNAcentral is "partial 23S ribosomal RNA". It matches the Rfam family "Bacterial large subunit ribosomal RNA", at positions 2679 to 2925 of the family's 2925-position model. The record is from RNAcentral. Lineage: Bacteria; Pseudomonadati; Pseudomonadota; Gammaproteobacteria; Enterobacterales; Enterobacteriaceae.
UAGUACGAGAGGACCGGAGUGGACGCAUCACUGGUGUUCGGGUUGUCAUGCCAAUGGCACUGCCCGGUAGCUAAAUGCGGAAGAGAUAAGUGCUGAAAGCAUCUAAGCACGAAACUUGCCCCGAGAUGAGUUCUCCCUGAGACUUUAGAUCUCCUGAAGGAACGUUGAAGACGACGACGUUGAUAGGCCGGGUGUGUAAGCGCAGCGAUGCGUUGAGCUAACCGGUACUAAUGAACCGUGAGGCUUAACCUUACAACGCCGAAG